GUGCUUCAUUCCUGUUAAAAACAAAGCUGAGAGGAUACCACUCUGAUUAUAUUAACCUGUUUCUAAAGAGAUGAGAAUUUUCCAGUAUUUUUCAUGCAUCAGACUUCUGCCCACAAAAAGGAGAUAUUUAGCUAUUUCCUGUUAUGCUAUGCUCUGCUGCUUUAGAUAUCUGCAAGCUUCUGAUAAAGAUUCACUCCUAGCAUGGGAACUGCAGAGAUUUGACAGACUUUGGGGACUUAAUUAGAAGAACUCUCCUUUGGCGUUCUUGCCACCAAUGAUUAAAAUCUCAAGCAAAUCUUUAAGACCUAGAGAAAGCUACGGGAUGCAUUGGGAACAUUGGCAGUUGUUGGAAAAUCCAACAGAAAAGGAUGAGCACUGAGAACACACAAGCUAUAUAUUAUACUAUAUAUAAUAUAGAGGGUGAUAUUUCUUAAGAUCUGCAAUAUCCAGACGUACUUUUAUUCAUGACACUAGAUUCCAGGACUGAGGAUACUUGGAAAAGUGACCUGUUGUUGGCUCCACACAGUAACUGUUAGCCAUCAGUAUAUCUCACCUUAGGUCUGCUGGAAUGGCAGGAUAUGAGAAAGUAGUUAUAGCCUAGGACAUUUAAUAUAGUGUGCCUGACUCAAAAUAGUGUUUGUAGUAUUGCUUGAAUCUAUUUGUGUCAGCAGUUGCUACAAAGAAGGUAGCUCCUGUGGGUAAUGAAUUUUCUGAAGAUCCUAAAAAUAGAUCUCUUUCCUUUAUUUUCCUUCUGACUGGGGAAAAAAAAAAAAAAAAAUUGCAAUAAAUAUUCUUUUAAAAAUGUAAAAUACAAUUAUUGCCUUGUAAGGAUAAAAAAAAAUGAUAUGAUAAAAGCAUGGUCCACCUUCACUGAUUCAGAAGUAUUCUACAUUACUGAGAUACUCUGUGUCUUUUUGUCCCAGUUCUGAUUUUGGAGAGAGUGCCAUGAUCUUGACUGAGCUUUCCUGGUUGUAGUUUCUUGUAUGUGAUGCAACAAAUCUAAUACAGAGUGGAAGAUUAUAUCACUCACUGGGAUAUCUGUUAAUUGUGACAGAGGAGAAAGAAUGGCAGGUUAGUUCAACAGUAGUAGUUAUUAAAAAAUAAACAUAUAAAUAUAUGUUGGAACAAAAUAAAAUUAAAACAAAUGUAUACAUAAGUAUGUGUCAACAGCAAUAAACAUAGGUAGUGUUUCUUGUAUAAUCAUCAAGUGUGCUGAAAUAUCUUUUGCAGUGCAGCUUUAAUUCAAUUCUGACAAGGAAGUCCACAAAAUGAAAAAGUACCAUUUAGAAAUAGCUUUUUGUACAUAGUUGUAGUUACAGGAACACAGACAAUAACUGUAAUACUUUUCAGCCAGCAGUAUUUAUUACAUUUUAUAAUUUUAAAA
This is a long non-coding RNA of Gallus gallus (chicken), 1384 nucleotides long. RefSeq lists it as uncharacterized. The record is from RefSeq and is a predicted model, not a curated record. The transcript has 4 exons. NCBI's taxonomy places the organism in Eukaryota, Metazoa, Chordata, Aves, Galliformes, Phasianidae.